GGCUCCAUGGCCCAAUGGCAAGGCGCUUGACUACGGAUCAAGAGAUUAUGGGUUCGAAUCCCAUUGGAGUCA
Lineolata rhizophorae is the source of this 72-nucleotide non-coding RNA. The record is from the annotation of a GenBank genome assembly. NCBI's taxonomy places the organism in Eukaryota, Fungi, Ascomycota, Dothideomycetes, Lineolatales, Lineolataceae.